Non-coding RNA from Lupinus albus (white lupine), 269 nucleotides. The record is from the annotation of a GenBank genome assembly. Lineage: Eukaryota; Viridiplantae; Streptophyta; Magnoliopsida; Fabales; Fabaceae.
CAACAAUGUAUUGAAAGCGUAUAAUACUUACGCGCAUCAAGUUGCAGAGUAUGAUGUGGAAGAUGAAGGAGACACGACCCAGACUCCUACGGGAGGCAGCAGUCGGGAAAUUUUUGCAAUAGGCGAAAGACUGGCGGAGCAAUGCUGCGUGAAGGUAGAAGGUCUGCGGGUCAUGAACUUCUUUUCUCGGAGAAAAAGCAAUGAUUGUAUCCUGGAAUAAGCAUCGGCUAACUCUGUGCUAACAUCCGUGGUAAGACAUAGGGAUGUUG